GACGGGGGGGGCAAGUGUUCUUCGGAAUGACUGGGCGUCAAGGGCACGUAGGCGGUGAAUCGGGUUGAAAGUGAAAGUCGCCAAAAAGUGGCGGAAUGCUCUCGAAACCAAUUCACUUGAGUGGGACAGAGGAGAGUGGAAUUUCGUGUGUAGGGGUGAAAUGCGUAGAUAUCGAGAGGAACACCUGCGGCGAAGGCGGGUUGCUGGGCUGAUACUGACGCUGAGGCGCGAAAGCCAGGGGAGCAAACAGG
RNAcentral lists this ribosomal RNA (251 nucleotides) under uncultured bacterium. RNAcentral describes it as "partial 16S ribosomal RNA". It matches the Rfam family "Bacterial small subunit ribosomal RNA", at positions 524 to 776 of the family's 1533-position model. The record is from RNAcentral.